Molecule: transfer RNA, 72 nt
Filed under: Cafeteria roenbergensis virus BV-PW1
Lineage: Varidnaviria; Bamfordvirae; Nucleocytoviricota; Megaviricetes; Imitervirales; Mimiviridae
Also listed under: 1 other name
Rfam family: tRNA
About the family: Transfer RNA (tRNA) molecules are approximately 80 nucleotides in length.
Source: Rfam by way of RNAcentral
GGUACCGUAGAACAAUUGGUUAGUUCAUCAGUCUUAAUCUGAAGGUUGUUGGUUCGAGUCCAGCCGGUACCG